Mycena rebaudengoi is the source of this 92-nucleotide non-coding RNA. NCBI's taxonomy places the organism in Eukaryota, Fungi, Basidiomycota, Agaricomycetes, Agaricales, Mycenaceae. The record is from the annotation of a GenBank genome assembly.
GACUCAGUGGUGUAAUGCUCAACGCACCAGCUCACUAUAAUGUCUGUUACUAUGGUAAGCUGGAGUUCCCCGUUCGACUCGGGGCUAGGUCA